UAAUACCGGAUAGAUCAAAGAUACUGGAAUGUCCUUUGGUCUAAAACUCCGGUGCCCAAGGAUGGGUCUGCGGCCUAUCAGGUAGUAGUGGGUGUAACGUACCUACUAGCCUACGACGGGUAAGGGUUGUGAGAGCAAGAGCCCUGAGAUGGAUUCUGAGACAUGAAUCCAGGCCCUACGGGGUGCAGCAGGCGCGAAAACUUUACACUGCGGGAAACCGCGAUAUGGGGACCCCGAGUGCCAGCACCUAGUGCUGGCUGUCCCGCUGUCUAAACAACAGUGGUUAGCAAGGGCCGGGCAAGACCGGUGCCAGCCGCCGCGGUAACACCGGCGGCCCGAGUGGUAGCCGUUAUUAUUGGGUUUAAAGGGUCCGUAGCCGGCCUGUUAAGUCUCUUGGGAAAUCUGGCGGCUCAAUCGUCAGGCGUUC
RNAcentral lists this ribosomal RNA (427 nucleotides) under uncultured archaeon. RNAcentral describes it as "bacterial SSU rRNA". It matches the Rfam family "Archaeal small subunit ribosomal RNA", at positions 147 to 575 of the family's 1478-position model. The record is from RNAcentral.